RNAcentral lists this transfer RNA (78 nucleotides) under Streptomyces spectabilis. RNAcentral describes it as "tRNA-Leu". It matches the Rfam family "tRNA". From Rfam's summary of the family: Transfer RNA (tRNA) molecules are approximately 80 nucleotides in length. Their secondary structure includes four short double-helical elements and three loops (D, anti-codon, and T loops). Further hydrogen bonds mediate the characteristic L-shaped molecular structure. tRNAs have two regions of fundamental functional importance: the anti-codon, which is responsible for specific mRNA codon recognition, and the 3' end, to which the tRNAs corresponding amino acid is attached (by aminoacyl-tRNA synthetases). tRNAs cope with the degeneracy of the genetic code in two manners: having more than one tRNA (with a specific anti-codon) for a particular amino acid; and 'wobble' base-pairing, i.e. permitting non-standard base-pairing at the 3rd anti-codon position. Lineage: Bacteria; Bacillati; Actinomycetota; Actinomycetes; Kitasatosporales; Streptomycetaceae. The record is from RNAcentral.
GCCCGCGUAGGCAAAUUCGGUAAAGCCGACGGUCUUAGAAACCGUAGUUUGGGAGUUCGAGUCUCCCCGUGGGUACGA